Molecule: ribosomal RNA, 497 nt
Filed under: uncultured bacterium
Lineage: Bacteria
Description: partial 16S ribosomal RNA
Rfam family: Bacterial small subunit ribosomal RNA
Source: RNAcentral
GAUGAACGCUGGCGGCGUGCCUAAUACAUGCAAGUCGAGCGAACAGAUAAGGAGCUUGCUCCUUUGACGUUAGCGGCGGACGGGUGAGUAACACGUGGGUAACCUAUCUAUAAGACUGGAAUAACUCCGGGAAACCGGGGCUAAUGCCGGAUAACAUGUUGAACCGCAUGGUUCUACAGUGAAAGGCGGCUUUGCUGUCACUUAUAGAUGGACCCGCGCCGUAUUAGCUAGUUGGUGAGGUAACGGCUCACCAAGGCAACGAUACGUAGCCGACCUGAGAGGGUGUUCGGCCACACUGGAACUGAGACACGGUCCAGACUCCUACGGGAGGCAGCAGUAGGGAAUCUUCCGCAAUGGGCGAAAGCCUGACGGAGCAACGCCGCGUGAGUGAUGAAGGUCUUCGGAUCGUAAAACUCUGUUAUUAGGGAAGAACAAAUGCGUAAGUAACUGUGCGCGUCUUGACGGUACCUAAUCAGAAAGCCACGGCUAACUACGUG